GAAUUCGCCCUUAGAGUUUGAUCCUGGCUCAGGACGAACGCUGGCGGCGUGCCUAACACAUGCAAGUCGAACGAGAAUUCCGAGACGGAGACCUUCGGGUCAAAGAUUCGGAAGGAAAGUGGCGGACGGGCGAGUAACGCGUGAAUAACCUGCCCAUAAGAGAGGGAUAAUCCAUGGAAACGUGGACUAAUACCUCAUAUAGAUAUAAUAUCGCAUGAUAAUAUAUUGAAAGAUUUAUCGCUUAUGGAUGGAUUCGCGUCAGAUUAGAUAGUUGGAGAGGUAACGGCUCACCAAGUCGACGAUCUGUAGCCGAACUGAGAGGUUGAUCGGCCGCAUUGGGACUGAGACACGGCCCAGACUCCUACGGGAGGCAGCAGUGGGGAAUAUUGCGCAAUGGGGGAAACCCUGACGCAGCAACGCCGCGUGCAGGAAGAAGGUUUUCGGAUUGUAAACUUCUGUCCUUGGUGACGAAGGAAGUGACGGUAGCCAAGGAGGAAGCCCCGGCUAACUACGUGCCAGCAGCCGCGGUAAUACGUAGGGGGCGAGCGUUGUCCGGAAUGACUGGGCGUAAAGGGCGUGUAGGCGGCUCUUUAAGUAUGAAGUGAAAACCCAGCUUUCAAGGUUGGGCCUGCUUUGUAGACUGAAGAGCUUGAGUGCGGAAGAGGUAAGUGGAAUUCCCAGUGUAGCGGUGAAAUGCGUAGAGAUUGGGAGGAACACCAGUGGCGAAGGCGACUUACUGGGCCGUAACUGACGCUGAGGCGCGAAAGCGUGGGGAGCGAACAGGAUUAGAUACCCUGGUAGUCCACGCUGUAAACGAUG
Molecule: ribosomal RNA, 819 nt
Filed under: uncultured bacterium
Lineage: Bacteria
Description: bacterial SSU rRNA
Rfam family: Bacterial small subunit ribosomal RNA
Source: RNAcentral